Molecule: ribosomal RNA, 775 nt
Filed under: uncultured Neocallimastigales
Lineage: Eukaryota; Fungi; Neocallimastigomycota; Neocallimastigomycetes; Neocallimastigales
Description: partial large subunit ribosomal RNA
Rfam family: Eukaryotic large subunit ribosomal RNA
Source: RNAcentral
AUAUCAGUCAUGCAUAGCAUAUCAAUAAGCGGAGGAAAAGAAACUAACAAGGAUUCCCUUAGUAACGGCGAGUGAAGCGGGAAGAGCUCAAAUUUGAAAUCUUCAAGGUUUUACCUUGACGAAUUGUAGUUUAAAGAAGUGUUUUCUGUUGAAGUUUUGGUAAAAGUUCUUUGGAAUAGGACAUCAUAGAGGGUGAGAAUCCCGUAUUUGACCAUUACUUUCAGCUUUGUGAUACACUUUCAAAGAGUCGGAUUGUUUGGGAAUGCAGUCCAAAAUGGGUGGUAAAUUUCAUCUAAAGCUAAAUAUUGGCGAGAGACCGAUAGCGAACAAGUACCGUGAGGGAAAGAUGAAAAGAACUUUGAAAAGAGAGUUAAACAGUACGUGAAAUUGUCAAAAGGGAAGCGUUUGACACCAGUGUUGUUUUCUCGAAAAUCAAUUAAAAAGAGUUGGAUUUUGUGUUGUAUUGACUUUAUCAGCUUUCUUCACUCUUUUCCAGCUUUUUUUAAUGCACUUUUCGUUUAACAAGUCAACAUCAGUUUCUUUUGUUGUAAAAAGGUCAUUGGAAGGUGGCUUUCUCUUCGGAGAAAGUGUUUAUAGCCUUUGACUCAUGCAAUCGGAGAGACUGAGGUCUGCAGCGUAGAUCCUUCGGGGUUAGAUACAUUUGUGCUAAGUUAUAGCUUUUCAUAGACAACUUGUUGACUAUGUUUAGUCUUGUAGCUUACUCGCUUAGUGCUAUUUUACCUACGCUUAGGAUGUUGAACUCUAUCACACACAG